UGAGGAAUAUUGGUCAAUGGGCGCAAGCCUGAACCAGCCAUCCCGCGUGCAGGAAGACAGUUCUAUGGAUUGUAAACUGCUUUUCUUGGGGAAGAAUAAUGACGACGUGUCGUCAGAUGACGGUACCCGAGGAAUAAGCAUCGGCUAACUCCGUGCCAGCAGCCGCGGUAAUACGGAGGAUGCAAGCGUUAUCCGGAUUUAUUAGGUUUAAAGGGUGUGUAGGCGGAUGUAUAAGUCAGUGGUGAAAGUCAGCAGCUUAACUGUAGAAUUGCCAUUGAUACUGUAUGUCUUGAGUGUGGUUGAGGUAUGCGGAAUGUGUAAUGUAGCGGUGAAAUGCAUAGAUAUUACACAGUACACCGAUUGCGAAGGCAGCAUGCUAAGCAACCACUGUCGCUGAUGCACGAAAGCGUGGGGAUCAAAGA
RNAcentral lists this ribosomal RNA (422 nucleotides) under uncultured prokaryote. RNAcentral's name for it is "bacterial SSU rRNA". It matches the Rfam family "Bacterial small subunit ribosomal RNA", at positions 355 to 774 of the family's 1533-position model. The record is from RNAcentral.